Molecule: signal recognition particle RNA, 96 nt
Filed under: Rhodospirillales bacterium
Lineage: Bacteria; Pseudomonadati; Pseudomonadota; Alphaproteobacteria; Rhodospirillales
Description: signal recognition particle sRNA small type
Rfam family: Bacterial small signal recognition particle RNA
About the family: The signal recognition particle (SRP) is a universally conserved ribonucleoprotein involved in the co-translational targeting of proteins to membranes.
Source: RNAcentral
UAUGGAGGGCAUCGGGUCAAGCGUUCGCCAACCCGGUCAGGUUCGGAAGAAAGCAGCCGUAACGAACCAGCCUGAGGUCGGUGUUCCUCCGCCUUU